AACGUAGGAGGCAAGCGUUAUCCGGAGUUACUGGGCGUAAAGCGUAUGUAGGCGGUUGGGCAAGUGGCGUGUGAAAGCUCCCGGCUAAACUGGGAGACGACAGGUCAGACUGCCGAACUCGAGUCCGAUAGAGGGGCGUAGAAUUCCGGGUGUAGCGGUGAAAUGUGUAGAGAUCCGGAGGAAUACCAGUGGCGCAAGCGGCGCCCUGGGUCGGUACUGACGCUGAGAUACGAAAGCCAGGGGAGCGAACGGG
RNAcentral lists this ribosomal RNA (253 nucleotides) under uncultured bacterium. RNAcentral describes it as "partial 16S ribosomal RNA". It matches the Rfam family "Bacterial small subunit ribosomal RNA", at positions 524 to 776 of the family's 1533-position model. The record is from RNAcentral.